Molecule: transfer RNA, 60 nt
Filed under: Ictidomys tridecemlineatus (thirteen-lined ground squirrel)
Lineage: Eukaryota; Metazoa; Chordata; Mammalia; Rodentia; Sciuridae
Description: Spermophilus tridecemlineatus (thirteen-lined ground squirrel) tRNA
Rfam family: tRNA
About the family: Transfer RNA (tRNA) molecules are approximately 80 nucleotides in length. Their secondary structure includes four short double-helical elements and three loops (D, anti-codon, and T loops). Further hydrogen bonds mediate the characteristic L-shaped molecular structure. tRNAs have two regions of fundamental functional importance: the anti-codon, which is responsible for specific mRNA codon recognition, and the 3' end, to which the tRNAs corresponding amino acid is attached (by aminoacyl-tRNA synthetases). tRNAs cope with the degeneracy of the genetic code in two manners: having more than one tRNA (with a specific anti-codon) for a particular amino acid; and 'wobble' base-pairing, i.e. permitting non-standard base-pairing at the 3rd anti-codon position.
Source: Rfam by way of RNAcentral
UGUAGCUCAGUGGUAGAGCACUUGCUUGAAGGUGUGAGGCCCUGAGUUCAAUCCUCAGCA